This 235-nucleotide ribosomal RNA is filed under the name uncultured bacterium. Its description in RNAcentral is "partial 16S ribosomal RNA". It matches the Rfam family "Bacterial small subunit ribosomal RNA", at positions 118 to 347 of the family's 1533-position model. The record is from RNAcentral.
UGAGGAACAUGACCUUCGGCGGGGGAUAGCCGGCCCAACGGCCGGGUAAUACCGCGUACGACCUUUCGGGGACAUCCCUGGAUGGUGAAAGCAGCAAUGCGCCGAUGGAGUGCCUCGCGGCCUAUCAGCUAGUUGGUGAGGUAACGGCUCACCAAGGCAACGACGGGUAGCUGGUCUGAGAGGAUGGCCAGCCACAUUGGGACUGAGACACGGCCCAGACUCCGUACGGGAGCAG